UGGGUGCAGCUUAGUGGUAGAGUUUGUGCCUAGCAUGCACAAAGCCCUGGGUUUGAUUCCCAGCACCACAA
RNAcentral lists this transfer RNA (71 nucleotides) under Ictidomys tridecemlineatus (thirteen-lined ground squirrel). RNAcentral's name for it is "Spermophilus tridecemlineatus (thirteen-lined ground squirrel) tRNA". It matches the Rfam family "tRNA". From Rfam's summary of the family: Transfer RNA (tRNA) molecules are approximately 80 nucleotides in length. Their secondary structure includes four short double-helical elements and three loops (D, anti-codon, and T loops). Lineage: Eukaryota; Metazoa; Chordata; Mammalia; Rodentia; Sciuridae. The record is from Rfam by way of RNAcentral.